GUGGUGGCAUGUAUUUGGUAGAGGUGGCCAAUGGGGCGGCCCGGCACCGGUCCAAAAUGGGCCGGGUUGGGUUUGGGAUUCGCGAGUUUAGGCCCGAGCAUAGCACGAGCCCGAUAAGAACUAGCUCUAGUCCAGCAUGAUGGACAGGGCCCGAUCCGGCAUGAUUAGGACCGUUAUGGGCCUAUCCAGGCUCGUAAUGAUAAUAUAAUAGAUAUUUUUUUUAAUUUUAAAUGAUAAAAUUUCAAGAAAACAUCACUUUUUUAUCCUCCCC
This 271-nucleotide long non-coding RNA is filed under the name Elaeis guineensis (African oil palm). RNAcentral describes it as "long non-coding RNA (EGUI_LNC039123)". The record is from RNAcentral. Lineage: Eukaryota; Viridiplantae; Streptophyta; Magnoliopsida; Arecales; Arecaceae.